Molecule: long non-coding RNA, 310 nt
Organism: Capra hircus (goat)
Lineage: Eukaryota; Metazoa; Chordata; Mammalia; Artiodactyla; Bovidae
Exons: 3
Source: RefSeq, a predicted model, not a curated record
CCUGGAAGUGCACUAUCUGUGGCUUGAAGGAUGAAGAGACAGCCACGGCUGGAGCUGAAGGGAGAGCAAUCCACUCAGAGGGAACAGCAAGUGGAAAAGCCUGUAGGAGCAGGUUGAAAGGUGCCCUUAAGGUGAUCUUCAUGGCUCACAGUCAAGUGCAGAAAGCCAAUGUAAAGACAGAGGCCAAUUGUUGGAAAAGGUCACUGCUGCUUUCAUCAGCUGAACCAGGGAACAGGCUGCCAGGCAUGUGGCAGACCAGGGAUCAGACCAGCACCCUCUACAUUGGAAGGAGAGUCUUAACCACUGGACU